This is a long non-coding RNA of Bubalus bubalis (water buffalo), 517 nucleotides long. RefSeq lists it as uncharacterized. NCBI's taxonomy places the organism in Eukaryota, Metazoa, Chordata, Mammalia, Artiodactyla, Bovidae. The record is from RefSeq and is a predicted model, not a curated record. The transcript is spliced from 4 exons.
CCGGGGAGGCCUCAGUGUCUCCUCUUCUUCGGGAGAACGGAAGGACGCCUGCGGCCUACAGGAGGAACUCCAAUCAAGAUACAGGAAUUCACAUUUUUGAGCAGUUCUGAGUUUUUCUGAAUAUCUUUGAAGGUUUCCAGGUGGUUUGUUCUACUAGGGCUGAUCUGCAUCCGGGCUCUCUGCCAAGCUACCAUCUCCUUUUCCUGCUGAGAAAAGGGGAUCACGAAUUUGACACCAUUCGCUGUAAGCUGUCAUCUUGGGGCCUCGUCCGGGAUCUUCAGGACAAGAUGGGAGCUAACAAUUCCAGCCUCACUCCUUUGAACUGUAUCCUGAAAAACGGGGAUAGAUUUAAUCCCCAGAGCUUAAAGUAGACACUCCUGAUCUUCCUAUGUGAUACUGCAUGGCUGCGGUACCCACUAGAGGAUGGCAACGGUGGCCAGUUGGAGGAUCUCUUAAUUAUAAUACUGUUUUACUAUUAGUCCAGUUCUGUAGAAAACAAGGGAAAUGGGUAGAAGUA